UGGGGAAUAUUGCACAAUGGGCGAAAGCCUGAUGCAGCAACGCCGCGCGAGGGACGACGGCCUUCGGGUUGUAAACCUCUUUUAGCAAGGAAGAAGCGAAAGUGACGGUACUUGCAGAAAAAGCGCCGGCUAACUACGUGCCAGCAGCCGCGGUAAUACGUAGGGCGCAAGCGUUAUCCGGAAUUAUUGGGCGUAAAGAGCUCGUAGGCGGUUUGUCGCGUCUGCUGUGAAAGCCCGAGGCUCAACCUCGGGCCUGCAGUGGGUACGGGCAGACUAGAGUGCGGUAGGGGAGAUUGGAACUCCUGGUGUAGCGGUGGAAUGCGCAGAUAUCAGGAAGAACACCGAUGGCGAAGGCAGAUCUCUGGGCCGUAACUGACGCUGAGGAGCGAAACGGGUGGGGAGCAAACAGGCUUAGAUACCCUGGUAGUCCACCCCGUAAACGUUGGGAACUAGCUGUGGGGUCCAUUCCACGGAUUCCGUGACGCAGCUAACGCAUUAAGUUCCCCGCCUGGGGAGUACGGCCGCAAGGCUAAAACUUAAAUGAAUUGACGGGGUCAUAGCGUUUCCU
Molecule: ribosomal RNA, 568 nt
Filed under: uncultured bacterium
Lineage: Bacteria
Description: partial 16S ribosomal RNA
Rfam family: Bacterial small subunit ribosomal RNA
Source: RNAcentral